Molecule: long non-coding RNA, 1059 nt
Filed under: Anser brachyrhynchus (Pink-footed goose)
Lineage: Eukaryota; Metazoa; Chordata; Aves; Anseriformes; Anatidae
Description: lncRNA (ENSABRG00000013313.1)
Source: RNAcentral
AGCUUCCUAAUUUCAUCCAGCCAAGCGAGGCGGGAGGGCGCUGCGCCCUUCGCGGGGCUCCGCUGGGGGGCAGCGGGGAGCCCGGGGGGAGCCCCGCGGCCAUCUCGCCCUACGCCCCGGGGGAGGAAAGGAGGACCCCGGGGUCGUGCUCCGGGGCCGUGCUGUGGGGCAGGCAGCCCUCCCCGAGCCCCCGGCCGGGCUCCUGAGGCAGCACGCCGCCCCGCCAGCCCAGGUGCGGCCGCCUCCGGAGGGAGGGAAGGGGAGGGAAGGGAGCGGAGCGCCGCGGGCGCGGCUCGCCGGGGAGCAGCGCGGGGGUGGGGUGGGGUGUGGAGGCAGGCAGGAAGGAAGGAAGGAAGGAGAAAACGAGCGAGCAGGGGGAGAGGAGGGAGCCCAAGCGGCCAGCAGGCCCUCUCCUCCUUCCCCUCCGCGGCUGCUCGUCGCCAGGAGCGUCAUCCGAGCAUUCAAACCAAAAUAAGCAAAACCCUCAGAUCCACAAAUACCAGUAAGUUUCACAAUCAAUAUUUGUAUAUCAUUUACUGAGUUGUGUAGGUGGGUCAGAUCUGUAGCAUGUCUUUAGAAGUGCUUCAACUCCAGCAACUGUUAGCAACUAUUGAAACAAAAAAUGGCUUUGGCUUCAGCUCCCAGCAUUGCUGGCAUUUUGUGGUCAAAACAUCGUCUUAGUGAGCAGUUUCUUCCUUUCUUGGUCUGCUGCGUAUUAUGCUGGAAAAUAUGCAACAAAAAGAAAUUAUGUUCUUCGUUCUGUGCUUGAUAAUCCUGUGCAUAGUGUUGUGGUUCAUACAGAGAUGGGUUAGGAUCCAAAUAACCGAUAAUACAUGGCUAUUGGAGUUCCUGAAGUAGCAGAAUGGAGGUUUUCCAGAUUAAGGUGUUGGCAAAGCUGUUGCAUGUAGAAAAAACAAUAUUUAGAUAUGGAAGAGUGUGUGUCAGUAAAUAGAAGCUACUUACUUAAGUGCCUUUUUUGUUACUGUAGGAGGUGGAGAGAUUGGGAGAAUGAUACUGUUUGAAAAUAAACGCUAACACCUCAGGGUUAAGACCCUAUAU